GGGUUGUGAGGUUAAGCGACUAAGCGUACACGGUGGAUGCCCUGGCAGUCAGAGGCGAUGAAGGGCGUGCUAAUCUGCGAUAAGCGCCGGUAAGGUGAUAUGAACCGUUAUAACCGGCGAUACCCGAAUGGGGAAACCCAGUGUGACUCGUCACACUAUCAUUAACUGAAUCCAUAGGUUAAUGAGGCGAACCGGGGGAACUGAAACAUCUAAGUACCCCGAGGAAAAGAAAUCAACCGAGAUUCCCCCAGUAGCGGCGAGCGAACGGGGAGGAGCCCAGAGCCUGAAUCAGCAUGUGUGUUAGUGGAAGCGUCUGGAAAGGCGCGCGAUACAGGGUGACAGCCCCGUACACAAAAGCGCAUGUGCUGUGAGCUCGAUGAGUAGGGCGGGACACGUGGUAUCCUGUCUGAAUAUGGGGGGACCAUCCUCCAAGGCUAAAUACUCCUGACUGACCGAUAGUGAACCAGUACCGUGAGGGAAAGGCGAAAAGAACCCCGGCGAGGGGAGUGAAAAAGAACCUGAAACCGUGUACGUACAAGCAGUGGGAGCNNGUGACUGCGUACCUUUUGUAUAAUGGGUCAGCGACUUAUAUUCUGUAGCAAGGUUAACCGAAUAGGGGAGCCGGAGGGAAACCGAGUCUUAACCGGGCGUUAAGUUGCAGGGUAUAGACCCGAAACCCGGUGAUCUAGCCAUGGGCAGGUUGAAGGUUGGGUAACACUAACUGGAGGACCGAACCGACUAAUGUUGAAAAAUUAGCGGAUGACCUGUGGCUGGGGGUGAAAGGCCAAUCAAACCGGGAGAUAGCUGGUUCUCCCCGAAAGCUAUUUAGGUAGCGCCUCGUGAAUUCAUCUCCGGGGGUAGAGCACUGUUUCGGCUAGGGGGCCAUCCCGGCUUACCAACCCGAUGCAAACUGCGAAUACCGGAGAAUGUUAUCACGGGAGACACACGGCGGGUGCUAACGUCCGUCGUGAAGAGGGAAACAACCCAGACCGCCAGCUAAGGUCCCAAAGUCAUGGUUAAGUGGGAAACGAUGUGGGAAGGCCCAGACAGCCAGGAUGUUGGCUUAGAAGCAGCCAUCAUUUAAAGAAAGCGUAAUAGCUCACUGGUCGAGUCGGCCUGCGCGGAAGAUGUAACGGGGCUAAACCAUGCACCGAAGCUGCGGCAGNNGUUGGGUAGGGGAGCGUUCUGUAAGCCUGUGAAGGUGGCCUGUGAGGGUUGCUGGAGGUAUCAGAAGUGCGAAUGCUGACAUAAGUAACGAUAAAGCGGGUGAAAAGCCCGCUCGCCGGAAGACCAAGGGUUCCUGUCCAACGUUAAUCGGGGCAGGGUGAGUCGACCCCUAAGGCGAGGCCGAAAGGCGUAGUCGAUGGGAAACGGGUUAAUAUUCCCGUACUUGGUGUUACUGCGAAGGGGGGACGGAGAAGGCUAUGUUGGCCGGGCGACGGUUGUCCCGGUUUAAGCGUGUAGGUGUGUGUUCCAGGUAAAUCCGGUUCACUUUAACACUGAGGCGUGAUGACGAGGCACUACGGUGCUGAAGCAACAAAUGCCCUGCUUCCAGGAAAAGCCUCUAAGCAUCAGGUAACAUCAAAUCGUACCCCAAACCGACACAGGUGGUCAGGUAGAGAAUACCAAGGCGCUUGAGAGAACUCGGGUGAAGGAACUAGGCAAAAUGGUGCCGUAACUUCGGGAGAAGGCACGCUGACACGUAGGUGAAGUGAUUUACUCAUGGAGCUGAAGUCAGUCGAAGAUACCAGCUGGCUGCAACUGUUUAUUAAAAACACAGCACUGUGCAAACACGAAAGUGGACGUAUACGGUGUGACGCCUGCCCGGUGCCGGAAGGUUAAUUGAUGGGGUCAGCGCAAGCGAAGCUCCUGAUCGAAGCCCCGGUAAACGGCGGCCGUAACUAUAACGGUCCUAAGGUAGCGAAAUUCCUUGUCGGGUAAGUUCCGACCUGCACGAAUGGCGUAAUGAUGGCCAGGCUGUCUCCACCCGAGACUCAGUGAAAUUGAACUCGCUGUGAAGAUGCAGUGUACCCGCGGCAAGACGGAAAGACCCCGUGAACCUUUACUAUAGCUUGACACUGAACAUUGAGCCUUGAUGUGUAGGAUAGGUGGGAGGCUUUGAAGCGUGGACGCCAGUCUGCGUGGAGCCGACCUUGAAAUACCACCCUUUAAUGUUUGAUGUUCUAACGUGGACCCGUAAUCCGGGUUGCGGACAGUGUCUGGUGGGUAGUUUGACUGGGGCGGUCUCCUCCUAAAGAGUAACGGAGGAGCACGAAGGUUGGCUAAUCCUGGUCGGACAUCAGGAGGUUAGUGCAAUGGCAUAAGCCAGCUUGACUGCGAGCGUGACGGCGCGAGCAGGUGCGAAAGCAGGUCAUAGUGAUCCGGUGGUUCUGAAUGGAAGGGCCAUCGCUCAACGGAUAAAAGGUACUCCGGGGAUAACAGGCUGAUACCGCCCAAGAGUUCAUAUCGACGGCGGUGUUUGGCACCUCGAUGUCGGCUCAUCACAUCCUGGGGCUGAAGUAGGUCCCAAGGGUAUGGCUGUUCGCCAUUUAAAGUGGUACGCGAGCUGGGUUUAGAACGUCGUGAGACAGUUCGGUCCCUAUCUGCCGUGGGCGCUGGAGAACUGAGGGGGGCUGCUCCUAGUACGAGAGGACCGGAGUGGACGCAUCACUGGUGUUCGGGUUGUCAUGCCAAUGGCACUGCCCGGUAGCUAAAUGCGGAAGAGAUAAGUGCUGAAAGCAUCUAAGCACGAAACUUGCCCCGAGAUGAGUUCUCCCUGAGACUUUAGGUCUCCUGAAGGAACGUUGAAGACGACGACGUUGAUAGGCCGGGUGUGUAAGCGCAGCGAUGCGUUGAGCUAACCGGUACUAAUGAACCGUGAGGCUUAACCUUACAACGCCGAAG
RNAcentral lists this ribosomal RNA (2904 nucleotides) under Salmonella enterica subsp. enterica serovar Ouakam. RNAcentral's name for it is "bacterial LSU rRNA". It matches the Rfam family "Bacterial large subunit ribosomal RNA". Lineage: Bacteria; Pseudomonadati; Pseudomonadota; Gammaproteobacteria; Enterobacterales; Enterobacteriaceae. The record is from RNAcentral.